CUUGGUGAUGGCAAGAGCACUUUGUUUUGGGAGGAUCGAUGGCUUAUGGGAUCCCGCAUCCAAGAGCUUGCGCCACGUCUCUAUGACCGCAUCCCGGCGCGUGUGAAGAAGUAGAGAACCGUCUACGAAGCCAUAGCCUCUGAUGCUUGGGCGCGUGACAUUGGGCCGGCCAUUGACCACACCACCUUGGAGCAAUUCUUAUCCCUUUGGCCCGCGGUGGUGGCCACCCGCCUGAACGAGCACGAUAGCGACACUAUUACCUGGGCUUGGAGCAAGAAGGGGCACUUUUCGGCCAGCUCGGCUUACCAGGCCAAGUUUUGGGGUCUCCAGGUUUCACCCACGGCCUCGCUCUCCCGGGACUCGCGAGCGCCGCUCAGAUGCAGGUUCUUUUCCUGGCUAGCCAUUAAGGAGAGGUGCUGGACCUCAGACCGGCUGGGAAGGCGAGGAUUGCCACACCAGGACGCAUGCCCGCUGUGCGAUCAGCACGAUGAAACGAUAAACCACCUGCUUCUGCACUUCGUCUUCGUCCGACAAGUGUGGACUCAAGUCUUGCCCGCGCUGGGCUUGGGGCAUGCUGAGCCUCGCCAGGAGGAGACGCUAUCGGACUGGUACGUACACAGCGGGCUAGAUAGGCUGACCAAGAAGCGAGCAAGGCCGAGGCGCGCGACUUGCUUACUAGUCCUCUGGGAGGUGUGGAAGCACCAGAACGACGUUGUGUUCAAUGGCAGGACUCCGUGUCUCAGAGACUUGUGGCGGAAAAUUGCUAGCGAAUACGAGCUAUGGAAAGACGCGGGACUGCCCCGCAACGAUGAUGAUAUGCACGAGGGCAUUGAGGCAGCUCUAAGGUGGGCGCAGGGCGAGUAG
RNAcentral lists this ribosomal RNA (864 nucleotides) under Triticum aestivum (bread wheat). Its description in RNAcentral is "partial small subunit ribosomal RNA". Lineage: Eukaryota; Viridiplantae; Streptophyta; Magnoliopsida; Poales; Poaceae. The record is from RNAcentral.